UCGCAAUUAGUAUCAAAUACUUAGAUUUGUUAUGCUUGAUAUACGGCGUGUGAUUCCGUCUUAGAAUUGGACCACUCCAAAUCCUCCCGUGGAUGUCGUACAAGGCGACUAAGGGACACAUAGCCUAUUGUUAUACUUUCCUUAUCAAGUUGCCUAAACAGCAAAGCAAGUAAUAAAGAAAAAUGCGUAACAUCCUAACAAAUUUUGAAUUUGAAAAGCUCUUAAGUUAGCUAAAGAGCUAAUUGUCUAUUAUACUGACUGCUUAAAAUGAAGUGCGCCGAAAAUGUAUUUUGCCAGUGAAUUAAAAAACGUUUGUCCAUAGAUAGAUAGAUUGAUUACAAUAUUAUAAAUGCGAAAGAAGUGUGGAGAAGGACAUAGCGAACGACACCUUCAUCCUGGAAAAAUAUGUGUUCCCGUGGUCGUGCAUGAAGGCUAGGUUUGAGGUUAAUUUAGCCUCACUAUCAAAGUGUGAUCUGUCAAACUCACUGGUUCCAUAAACUAAACUAUUAUACUACGGAAGGACCGUAAUAUAAUAGUUUUAUUGAAACAAUAGUAUAAUAAUAUUUGCGGAUUGCGGUAUCACUAACUGAAGACUAUCGAAUGACAUUUAAUACCACGGCCAACGUCGUCCCUUCAUAAAUAUGUAAAUCCAGGAUUCCGUCUAUUAUCCCACGCCGUUCUAGUGUGAAAUUUGGGAAAUUCUCUUUUGAAUAAGUUCUACGAAUAGAUUAGGUACUAAUAUUCCGACGGAAUAAAUUAGUCAAUCGCUUGACACAAAGGGGUUAUUAUUUCAAAAUUUAGAAUACAAUUAUAUUUUACAUACUAUUAGGUAUUAAUUACGUUUGAAAAGUUCUUUAUUUCUUACACGUUAGUCUAUAGCUGGAAGUAUAGAGAGAUACGCCGUUGCCGAAAAUUUAUAGGCAAUACGAUAAUACAACUUUCUGGCAACAUCUAUAAGUGUACAACAACCACGGACAAGGAAAUCUGCCAGUGGUAUAUCAGGAAACAAACACCGCGAUUACAUACUGCAAUUAUGUUGACUAACGGAACGGAGACGGACCAUUACUGCCCGAUACCCAUAAUAAUAGAAUAUUUUUAUCUGUAUAUUGCAUACCAAAUUUCUUUUAAGGCAUUCCAAGGAACCUUCCUACAUACCAAAUUUCAACUUUCUACUUACCCUUGAGAGUUCAGUAAGACCACUACGCCGCCGGUUAGAUUUGAAUAGAAUGAUAGACUUGAAUAAAUAGACGUGGAUUCGAUCGAGUGCAACUGCAGCAACUAUUAAAUCGAUCAUGAUUAUAAGAGACAUUCAGUGAAUUCGAAUCGAAUAAUCAUGUAGUUAAUCUUUAUUAUGUACACAAUUUGUCGUCACCACAGCCCGAAUGCUGAACGUGGUGUUUUGAUUGGAAACAUAACGUUUCGAUAAUUCUGUUUGUUUAGCAUCAAAUUAAAUGUUCAUUUUGUUGUAUAAAUGUGUUAAGUACACAAUUUUCAGUUCUUGUUAAAAUGGGUGAUUGGGUAUUAUUAUAAAGUACUAAGUUAAGGGUGAGUUGCACCGGCAUAUUUGACGUUGGUUUUAACCGAUGCGCCUCUUUUACACAAAAUUGCGCACGUUAGAGACGUCAAAGUUGACGGUGGAACCAUUGCUAAAUUCUAAAGCUUAUUGGAGUGUUUAUUUAAGUGCCUGUGGAAUUAUUUUGACACAAAUACGGACAAGAAUGUGAACGACUUUUCAGACACAGAGUUUCAAAAGCAAAAGUAAAUUGAUUCAGGCCAGGAGGAAAUGUACUCGCUGACUUUAAUAUCCGUUCUUAUUAAAAGUUCCUUAGUCCUGUCUAUCACUGUGUAAGUAUAAUGAUGAUAUAAGUUCAUGGAUGUGAAAUAAAAAUGUCUAAUAAUAAAU
Molecule: long non-coding RNA, 1903 nt
Organism: Plodia interpunctella (Indianmeal moth)
Lineage: Eukaryota; Metazoa; Arthropoda; Insecta; Lepidoptera; Pyralidae
Exons: 3
Source: RefSeq, a predicted model, not a curated record